This is a long non-coding RNA of Serinus canaria (Common canary), 2015 nucleotides long. RefSeq lists it as uncharacterized. The record is from RefSeq and is a predicted model, not a curated record. Lineage: Eukaryota; Metazoa; Chordata; Aves; Passeriformes; Fringillidae. The transcript has 2 exons.
CACCUGCACUUCUCUGCCCCUUCCCUUUGGCACACCCUGAGGUAAAACACCUGCAGCUCUCUGCCCCUUCCCUUUGGCACAUCACUGAGGUAAAACACCUGCAGCUCUCUGCCCCUUCCCUUUGGCACACCCUGAGGUAAAACACCUGCAGCUCUCUGCCCCUUCCCUUUGGCACAUCCUGAGGUAAAACACCCGCAGCUCUCUGCCCCUUCCCUUUGGCACACCCUGAGGUAAAACACCUGCAGCUCUCUGCCCCUUCCCUUGGGCACACCCUGAGGUAAAACACCUGCAGCUCUCUGCCCCUUCCCUUUGGCACACCCUGAGGUAAAACACCUGCAGCUCUCUGCCCCUUCCCUUGGGCACAUCACUGAGGAGCAUUUCUGAGUGUCCUGAGAUUGCUUCAGCCUAAUUGAGCAGCAAACUGUUCAUUAUUGGCUUUGUAAAACACCCAUAUCAGGAACAAUUCCAGAGGUUUUUCAUAGGCAGGAAGGGAAAUAGCAGCAGGUGCAGGAACUGAAUGCUGAGCUUUUGUCAGUCUUAUUUCAGGAAAUAACACAACAUUCCUGUUUUCUUGUGGAAUCCCAGGUAUCUCUCCCAAACCCUUUUAAGCAGAGCUGCAUUUAGUGAAAUGUUCUAAAAACUAGCCACUCUUUCAACCUUGGAACAUGCAUAACAUUAGAGAUUUUUUUUUAUACUGUAACCUGGGGGCUGUAAUGUACUGAUAGUGUAAUGAAAUGUCAGAGCUAAAAUUGAUGUUUUCAGCAUUUCUUUGCACACAUCAAAUUCUUGUGAAACUGUAAAUGUAUGGGACUAUUAAUAUUAUAAUUAUAUCCCAGUAAAAGUAAAGGGUCUGUGACAUUCAGCGUGGUUAAAAAAAAAAGUCGAAAGUCAAAUUUCUCCAGACUGUGAGCCUUGAUAUCCAAUUCUUUGAAUGUUUUGGGGGCUUUUUGUAGUCUUAUAUAUUUAUUUUUUUAGUGGAUUCCAGUUUACCUAUAAACCAAAUCACUAAUAAACCAUUUAAACAGCAGGAGGCAAAGUUAAUGCAUUUCUGUAUUUAUAUAUAAAUAGAAGAAUUUGAUAUUUAAUGUAAAUACUAUGUUAAUCUGAAGUGCAGGUGUACUGAAAUAAUCAGGUGUGCAUCCAUGCAGAUGCAAACAGGGAUGUAGGAGUUUAGCAUUUUUAAUGGGUUUUAUUCUACUUCUUUUCUCAUGCUGGAAGCAGUCAGAAUUUUUUGCUUGCUUUAAUAAAUUAUCUAAUAAAUUAUUUGUCUCCCUAAUGGGAGCAGGGGGGGGUUGGUGCAGGGUUCCACUCACCACAACCCCAGGGGUGAUUUCCAGCUCUGCAGAGGUUUCCUUUCCUGGAGCUUUCUCUCUUGCAGCAGCACUAACAAUGUACAGCCCCUCAUAACUUGGGAAUGACUGCAUUAAACCACUCCUCAAAAUAGAGUGGGGAAUAAAGGGAUAGUGACCAUUUAAUGCAGUGUGGGCUUGAAAUCAAAGGUAAAUCCUGGAGUUUGAACAGUUCCCUUUCUUUGCAAAUGUUGUCCCUGAUAGAUGACCCUGGUUCUGACUAUCAGCAUGGAUUUUAUUUUACUUUGUAGUUCUGUUACUCUUAGUCUUUUGAGGAGAGUCUAAUAUUGUAAUUAUCUUUUUGAAAGUUUUGGUGAAACUUUUUAUUUCCAGGUGCUAAUUUGUGGCUUGUUAUCUGAACUGAGGUCAAAUAAAGAGAUCUAAUGAAUUAAAAAUAGUAUUUUUGUCAGCAAACUUAGCCUUUAUCAUCAAUAUACAUGACAGAAAAUGGUUAUGAACAGAAAGAAAUAAAGUAAUGGAUAUGAAUUUCAUUGGAAGUUAUUGUGGGAUUUGGGGCCUGUUUUUGUGGGUUUCAUUGUAUCUUUUCAAUAGCCAGACAUUGUCAUCUUGGUUUGGGAAAAAUGUGGUGCCAAGACAUCUAUGGAAGCUACAGGCUGGAGCUUGGUAUCCAGUGUUUAAAACCAAAUAAAAAAUCCCACCCUACCA